This 456-nucleotide ribosomal RNA is filed under the name Leptosphaeria doliolum. RNAcentral describes it as "LSU rRNA". It matches the Rfam family "Eukaryotic large subunit ribosomal RNA", at positions 72 to 534 of the family's 3401-position model. Lineage: Eukaryota; Fungi; Ascomycota; Dothideomycetes; Pleosporales; Leptosphaeriaceae. The record is from RNAcentral.
GGAUUGCCCUAGUAACGGCGAGUGAAGCGGCAACAGCUCAAAUUUGAAAUCUGGCUCUUUUAGGGUCCGAGUUGUAAUUUGCAGAGGGCGCUUUGGCGUUGGCAGCGGUCCAAGUUCCUUGGAACAGGACGUCACAGAGGGUGAGAAUCCGUACGUGGUCGCUGGCCUUCGCCGUGUAAAGCCUCUUCGACGAGUCGAGUUGUUUGGGAAUGNNGCUCUAAAUGGGAGGUAAAUUUCUUCUAAAGCUAAAUACUGGCCAGAGACCGAUAGCGCACAAGUAGAGUGAUCGAAAGAUGAAAAGCACUUUGGAAAGAGAGUCAAAUAGCACGUGAAAUUGUUAAAAGGGAAGCGCUUGCAGCCAGACUUGCCNGUAGUUGCUCAUCCAGGCUUUUGCCUGUGCAUUCUUCUANGGGCAGGCCAGCAUCAGUUUGGGCGGUUGGAUAAAGGUCUCUGUCA